Molecule: ribosomal RNA, 468 nt
Filed under: uncultured bacterium
Lineage: Bacteria
Description: partial 16S ribosomal RNA
Rfam family: Bacterial small subunit ribosomal RNA
Source: RNAcentral
GACGAACGCUGGCGGCGUGCUUAACACAUGCAAGUCGAACGGAAAGGCCCUGCUUUUGUGGGGUGCUCGAGUGGCGAACGGGUGAGUAACACGUGAGUAACCUGCCCUUGACUUUGGGAUAACUUCAGGAAACUGGGGCUAAUACCGGAUAGGAGCUCCUGCUGCAUGGUGGGGGUUGGAAAGUUUCGGCGGUUGGGGAUGGACUCGCGGCUUAUCAGCUUGUUGGUGGGGUAGUGGCUUACCAAGGCUUUGACGGGUCGCCGGACUGAGAGGGUGACCGGCCACAGUGGGCCUGAGGUACGGCCCAGACGGCUACGGGAGGCAGCAGUGGGGAAUAUUGCACAAUGGGCGGAAGCCUGAUGCAGCAACGCCGCGUGCGGGAUGACGGCCUUCGGGUUGUAAACCGCUUGCGCCUGUGACGAAGCGUGAGUGACGGUAAUGGGUAAAGAAGCACCGGCUAACUACGUG